RNAcentral lists this ribosomal RNA (521 nucleotides) under uncultured bacterium. RNAcentral's name for it is "bacterial SSU rRNA". It matches the Rfam family "Bacterial small subunit ribosomal RNA", at positions 25 to 518 of the family's 1533-position model. The record is from RNAcentral.
CAGGAUGAAUGGCUGGCGGCGUGCCUAAUACAUGCAAGUCGAGCGUAACGGGGCUUCACGUUCCUUGACACACCUAGCGCUAUAAUCGUAGGUUGGUUAGAUUCGAGGGAACAGUGAAGCUGCUGACGAGCGGCGGACGGCUGAGUAACGCGUGGGAACGGCCCCAAAAAACUGAGGGAUAACUAGUCGAAAGAUUAGCUAAUACCGCAUGUGAUCUUCGGAUUAAAGGAUUUAUCCGGUUUGGGACUGGCCUGCGUAGGAUUAGAUAGUUGGUAGGGUAAUGGCCUACCAAGUCGACGAUCCUUAGAUGGUUUGAGAAGAUGAUCAUCCAGACUGGGACUGAGACACGGCCCAGACUCCUACGGGAGGCAGCAGUAGGGAAUCUUUCACAAUGGGCGAAAGCCUGAUGGAGCAACGCCGCGUGCAGGAUGACGGCCUUCGGGUUGUAAACUGCUUUUAUAACCGAGAAAUAUGAUGGUAAGUUAUGAAUAAGGACCGGCUAACUACGUGCCAGCAGCGGC